RNAcentral lists this non-coding RNA (167 nucleotides) under uncultured Ruminococcus sp. RNAcentral describes it as "Lysine riboswitch". It matches the Rfam family "Lysine riboswitch aptamer". From Rfam's summary of the family: Riboswitches are metabolite binding domains within certain messenger RNAs that serve as precision sensors for their corresponding targets. The record is from RNAcentral. Lineage: Bacteria; Bacillati; Bacillota; Clostridia; Eubacteriales; Oscillospiraceae.
AUAAUAGAGGCGCGGGCUUCAUCAGUAGCCGGAGAGAUCGCACGGGAAUGUGCCGGUGAAAGGGGAGACCGCCGAGGCUUAUAUGCUUUUCCCGGGGCAUAUCUGUCGGGAUCACGCAGAAUAUGCGUGGUACUGUCGUUGCGGGAAUUCCCGACGGAGUGCUAUUC